CCCGCGAUUUUCCAGAAACAUAACUAGUCAAGGCAUUUGUAUUGCAUCUGUUCCUUUGAUUAAAUCCUCUCAUCUUGUUAUUACUGUUGUUGAAUUUGAGUUCUUGUAGAUUGCUUUAGUUAGCUUCAUCCUAACUCUUACAUCAAUAGUCUACUUGAUAAUUUAGUCCAAUGACAGAGAACUCCAAUGGGGUAGUUAUUCUUAUCACUUUAUUGAAUAUCUUGCUUUACAAGCUCCAGAAACUCCAAGAAGCUAAGCAAAAAACCCACUUACCCCUGUCUGUUCGACAGAUAUGUCGGCGUUUUUCGAUUGGUGAUAUGAAAUCAGCAACAAACAACUUCAAGGAAGAAUUGGUAAUCGGAAAAGGUGGGUUUGGAAUUGUUUAUAAAGGUAUCAUUGACUUUAAAGACAAGAUUGUUGCUAUCAAGCGGUCAAAAUCUAUGUCCCAGCAAGGAAGCAAGGAGUUUCUUACAGAGAUUGAGAUGCUCUCUCAGUUUCAACACAGCCAUUUAGUCUCUCUCGUUGGUUAUUGUGAUGACGGGGAAGAGAUGAUCCUAGUUUAUGAUUAUCUGCCUUCUGGAAGUCUAUCUGACCAUCUGUAUAAAAGGGUCAGAAAUGGUGAUCAUUCAUUGCCUUCUUUGACAUGGGUGCAGCGCCUCAAGAUUUGCAUCGGGGCUGCACAUGGACUGAACUACCUUCACACGGGUACGAGCACUAAGACCAGAGUCAUACACAGAGAUGUCAAGACUUCAAACAUUCUGUUGGAUGAGAAUUUGGCAGCUAAAAUUUCAGACUUUGGAUUGUCCAAAACAGGUCCUGCAAAUCAAACAUGUACAUAUGUGAGCACGCGGGUCAAAGGGACACACGGUUAUCUAGAUCCUUACUAUGUGGCAACUCGUAGACUAACUAGGAAAUCUGAUGUCUAUGCAUUUGGUGUGGUGUUAUUUGAGGUGUUGUGUGGAAGACCAGCUGUGGAUGCAAGUCUUGAUGAAGAGCAGAUUAGCUUAGCUGGAUGGGCACAGCAAUGCUUCAAAGAGGGACUCUUGGACCAGAUAACAGAUUCCUGCAUCAAGGAGAGCAUAUCAUCUGAUUCCUUAAAAGCUUAUGUUGAUGUUGCUAUCAAGUGUUUAAAUAAUCAACCCAAGCUCCGUCCUACUAUGGCUGAGGUUGUAGUCAGUCUUGAGUCUGCAUUGGUAUUGCAAGAAAAGAGCACACAUUAUUCUUUGGUUGAGAUAAUGCCUGAUGAUUCUACCCAAGAAGAUGCAGAUUCUUCUAUACUUAAAUUGAAAAGCACUAUGCCCAACCGUGGACAUGAAUAUACAGGAAAAAGAAUUGUGAAUGCUUCUAAUAGCUCGCAUCACAAUAAGUAAUCUUCUGCUAGGUUGACAUUCACCAGAAGGUUCAGUGCUCUACUUUCAGUUACAAGUCGGGUGUUCUCAGUUAAUAAAGAUGCAAAGAAAUUCAAAUACAGUAAUGGUCUGCUGUCAGUUAAUAGUAACAAAUCACAGAAUCCAUCAAUGCCACUAAAACCUUGGAGACAGGAAGAAGUUCUGCAGUCAUCAAAUUUAAAGAGGUUCG
RNA transcript from Daucus carota subsp. sativus, 1578 nucleotides. It is a transcript of the gene named probable serine/threonine-protein kinase PBL11, with no coding region annotated. The transcript is spliced from 3 exons. NCBI's taxonomy places the organism in Eukaryota, Viridiplantae, Streptophyta, Magnoliopsida, Apiales, Apiaceae. The record is from RefSeq and is a predicted model, not a curated record.